This 932-nucleotide ribosomal RNA is filed under the name uncultured bacterium. RNAcentral's name for it is "bacterial SSU rRNA". It matches the Rfam family "Bacterial small subunit ribosomal RNA", at positions 8 to 916 of the family's 1533-position model. The record is from RNAcentral.
AGAGUUGAUCUGGCUCAGAAUCAACGCUGGCGGCGUGCCUAACACAUGCAAGUCGAACGCGAAGGGAAGUCUUCGGACUUCUGGAGAGUGGCGCACGGGUGAGUAACACGUGGGUAAUCUGCCUUUGGGUGGGGAAUAACGAUCCGAAAGGGUCGCUAAUACCGCAUAACGCAGCGGCACCGCAUGGUGACAGUUGUUAAAGGGGGGGAUCGAAAGACCUCUCGCCUGAAGAGGAGCCCGCGCCCGAUUAGCUUGUUGGUGAGGUAACGGCUCACCAAGGCUUCGAUCGGUAGCCGGCCUGAGAGGGCGGUCGGCCACACUGGCACUGAGACACGGGCCAGACUCCUACGGGAGGCAGCAGUGGGGAAUUUUGGGCAAUGGGCGCAAGCCUGACCCAGCAACGCCGCGUGAAGGAUGAAAUCCCUCUGGGAUGUAAACUUCGAAAGUCGGGAAAGAAAUCCUACGGGGGAAUAUCCCGUGGGGAUGACGGUACCCGACGUAAGCCCCGGCUAACUACGUGCCAGCAGCCGCGGUAAUACGUAGGGGGCAAGCGUUGUUCGGAAUUACUGGGCGUAAAGGGCGCGUAGGCGGCAUGGCAAGUCGGGAGCGAAAGCCCGGGGCUCAACCCCGGAACGGCUUUCGAAACUGCCAAGCUAGAGUACGGAAGGGGCAACUGGAAUUCCCAGUGUAGCGGUGAAAUGCGUAGAUAUUGGGAAGAACACCGGAGGCGAAGGCGGGUUGCUGGGCCGAUACUGACGCUGAGGCGCGAAAGCCAGGGGAGCAAACGGGAUUAGAUACCCCGGUAGUCCUGGCCCUAAACGAUGGAUACUUGGUGUGUGGGGUUCUCAAAGUCCCCGCGUGCCGAAGCUAACGCGUUAAGUAUCCCGCCUGGGGAGUACGGUCGCAAGGCUGAAACUCAAAGGAAUUGACGG